This 460-nucleotide ribosomal RNA is filed under the name uncultured bacterium. Its description in RNAcentral is "bacterial SSU rRNA". It matches the Rfam family "Bacterial small subunit ribosomal RNA", at positions 33 to 507 of the family's 1533-position model. The record is from RNAcentral.
ACGACGCUGGCGGCGUGCUUAACACAUGCAAGUCGAACGGUAAGGCCCUUCGGGGUACACGAGUGGCGAACGGGUGAGUAACACGUGGGUGAUCUGCCCUGCACUUCGGGAUAAGCUUGGGAAACUGGGUCUAAUACCGGAUAGGACCACGGUCUGCAUGGAUUGUGGUGGAAAGCUUUUGCGGUGUGGGAUGGGCCCGCGGCCUAUCAGCUUGUUGGUGGGGUGAUGGCCUACCAAGGCGACGACGGGUAGCCGGCCUGAGAGGGUGUCCGGCCACACUGGGACUGAGAUACGGCCCAGACUCCUACGGGAGGCAGCAGUGGGGAAUAUUGCACAAUGGGCGCAAGCCUGAUGCAGCGACGCCGCGUGGGGGAUGACGGCCUUCGGGUUGUAAACCUCUUUCAGCAUCGACGAAGCGCAAGUGACGGUAGAUGCAGAAGAAGCACCGGCCAACUACGUG